This 255-nucleotide ribosomal RNA is filed under the name uncultured bacterium. RNAcentral describes it as "partial 16S ribosomal RNA". It matches the Rfam family "Bacterial small subunit ribosomal RNA", at positions 524 to 776 of the family's 1533-position model. The record is from RNAcentral.
UACGUAGGAUCCAAGCGUUAUCCGGAAUUACUGGGCGUAAAGAGUUUGUAGGCUGUUAUAUAAGUUGAAUGUGAAAUCUGGUGGCUCAACCAUUCUAGACUAUGUUCAAAACUGUAUAACUUGAGGUUGGCAGAGGCAAGCGGAAUUACUAGUGUAGCGGUGAUAUGCGUAGAUAUUAGUAAGAACACCAAUGGCGUAGGCAGCUUGCUGGGCCAAAUCUGACGCUAAAGAACGAAAGCGUGGGUAGCAAACAGG